UCGAACCCUGCAAGGCAGAACGACCUGCGAACAUGUAAUCACACAGGGUGACAGGGAAAUGGGCCAUGGUCCUGAUCCCUUAACCCCUCCUGACAUGUCAUUUGUGGUGCCUUGUUUUGGGCAGCAUGGAUGUCUAGUCAGACCCUAACCAACCCCGGCACGGAAUGUGCCAAGGAAAACAAAAAAUGAAAAGGUCAUGUCUUGCAUUGCCCCGUUCGCGGUGUGCGUGCAUAUCGUGGUCUCUUUGGAAAUACAAACGACUCUCGGCAACGGAUAUCUCGGCUCACGCAUCGAUGAAGAACGUAGCAAAAUGCGAUACUUGGUGUGAAUUGCAGAAUCCCGUGAACCAUCGAGUUUUUGAACGCAAGUUGCGCCCGAAGCCAUCCGGCUGAGGGCACGUCUGCCUGGGCGUCACGCAUCGCGUCGCUCCCAUAUAUCUCCCUUAUGGGUUGUUAUGUUGUUUGGAGCGGAUAAUGGCCUCCCGUGCAUGUUUUUCGGUUGGCCUAAAUAUGAGUUCCCUUUGGUGGACGCACAACUAGUGGUGGUUGAACAGACCCUCGUCUUGUGUUGUGUGUCGUGAGCUCAUAGGGAAGCCCUCAAUUAAGACCCCAAUGUAUCGUCUCUUGACGAUGCUUCGAC
Molecule: ribosomal RNA, 639 nt
Filed under: Parasyncalathium souliei
Lineage: Eukaryota; Viridiplantae; Streptophyta; Magnoliopsida; Asterales; Asteraceae
Description: eukaryotic LSU rRNA
Rfam family: 5.8S ribosomal RNA (bases 259-414)
Source: RNAcentral